GAGUUUGAUCCUGGCUCAGGAUGAACGCUAGCGGCAGGCUUAACACAUGCAAGUCGAGGGGUAACGGGGAGGCUUGCUUCCGCCGACGACCGGCGCACGGGUGCGUAACGCGUAUACAAUCUACCUUGUACUGGGGUAUAGCCUUUAGAAAUGAAGAUUAAUCCCCCAUAGUCUCUUAGAGUGGCAUCACUUCUAGAGUAAAGAUUACGGUAUAAGAUGAGUAUGCGUUCUAUUAGUUUGUUGGUGUGGUAACGGCACACCAAGACUACGAUAGAUAGGGGCCCUGAGAGGGGGAUCCCCCACUCUGGUACUGAGACACGGACCAGACUCCUACGGGAGGCAGCAGUGAGGAAUAUUGGACAAUGGAGGCAACUCUGAUCCAGCCAUGCCGCGUGCAGGAAGACUGCCCUAUGGGUUGUAAACUGCUUUUAUACAGGAAGAAACACCUCUACGUGUAGAGGCUUGACGGUACUGUAAGAAUAAGGAUCGGCUAACUCCGUGCCAGCAGCCGCGGUAAUACGGAGGAUCCAAGCGUUAUCCGGAAUCAUUGGGUUUAAAGGGUCCGUAGGUGGAUAAUUAAGUCAGAGGUGAAGUCUUGCAGCUCAACUGUAAAAUUGCCUUUGAAACUGGUUAUCUUGAGUUAUUAUGAAGUAGUUAGAAUAUGUAGUGUAGCGGUGAAAUGCAUAGAUAUUACAUAGAAUACCAAUUGCGAAGGCAGAUUACUAAUAAUCAACUGACACUGAUGGACGAAAGCGUGGGUAGCGAACAGGAUUAGAUACCCUGGUAGUCCACGCCGUAAACGAUGGUUACUAGCUGUUUGGACUUCGGUCUGAGUGGCUAAGCGAAAGUGAUAAGUAACCCACCUGGGGAGUACGUUCGCAAGAAUGAAACUCAAAGGAAUUGACGGGGGCCCGCACAAGCGGUGGAGCAUGUGGUUUAAUUCGAUGAUACGCGAGGAACCUUACCAGGGCUUAAAUGUAAGUUGCAUUAGUUAGAGAUAGCUAUUUNUUCGGACCACUUACAAGGUGCUGCAUGGUUGUCGUCAGCUCGUGCCGUGAGGUGUCAGGUUAAGUCCUAUAACGAGCGCAACCCCUGUUGUUAGUUGCCAGCGAGUCAUGUCGGGGACUCUAACAAGACUGCCAGCGCAAACUGUGAGGAAGGUGGGGAUGACGUCAAAUCAUCACGGCCCUUGCGUCCCGGGCUACACACGUGCUACAAUGGUAGGUACAGAGAGCAGCCACUGCGCGAGCAGGAGCGAAUCUAUAAACCUAUCACAGUUCGGAUCGGAGUCUGCGACUCGACUCCGUGAAGCUGGAAUCGCUAGUAAUCGGAUAUCAGCCAUGAUCCGGUGAAUACGUUCCCGGGCCUUGCACACACCGCCCGUC
Molecule: ribosomal RNA, 1385 nt
Filed under: uncultured marine bacterium
Lineage: Bacteria
Description: bacterial SSU rRNA
Rfam family: Bacterial small subunit ribosomal RNA
Source: RNAcentral